AUGACUGGGCACGAACAAAAGAGUGUUGGGGGGGUUGGUGGAAGGGCGGCCCUAGCCCUACUUAUAGGCAGCAUAAUCAGUUUGAGCAGCCUGAGCGCGGCAAUACCCCCACUUCACAAUCCAAGGAAGAACGUGUGGCUUACGAUCGCAAACAGGACCGGCCAGACAUCGUUCUGCCUGUCUAUGGGCAAGGUGGGUGACCCUUUCAGGACAUGUUUAAUCGGUGUCCCCACCUGGAGGGCAGAGGAAUUCAAGGCAUAUGUUAGUAACGAGACAACCUUGAACUUCACAGCCGUUAAUAAGACGAUAAUGGCCCCAGGGUUAAACAAGUGGCAACGUGAUGGGGGGUGGCAGUGUCAUGUUAUCCUGGCCUUGAACAAAACCCUAAACUCAGACCCUGAGGAGUUGGAUCUCUUCGGCUGUAUGGCCGCCAGCACCUCGGAAGAUGAUACGGGCGGGUAUGUCAGCUUCCUUCCCCCUGAGGGGAUGCUCACUGAGCGGUCAUCAAAAUGGGCAACCUUGAAUUCCGCCUUAAAUAGCGGUGACGUGCACGGCCAGGUGUAUACGAACUGCAAUGCAACAAGCCACACAACAGCGAAAGCGCUGCCGCCUGGUAUAUUUCUGAUAUGCGGGGAUAGGGCCUGGAACGGCGUGCCACGCAUCCUGCGAGGAGGCCCGUGCUACUUGGGGAGAUUGAGUCUGUUCCACCCCAAUCUCACCCAACUGCAGAACUUGACGAAGCACGGGUGGGGUAGAAGGAGUGGGCAUGAGCUAGAGCGUAAGGAUAUUGGCGAUCCCGUAUUUUGGUCAGACUUCCGGCAGCUGGUAACCGCUAUGCUACUGCAAGGAGCCGCUGGGCUUAAGGCGAUGAAAUUGGCGGAGCAACUGGCCUGUUGGACUAAAAAUGAGUUAAAUAUUACAUCGCUAGUGCUAGAUGAGAUGUCCCAGGAUGUGCUGAGCGUAAACCACGCUGUGCUACAAAAUAGGGCYGCCAUAGACUUCUUACUCUUAGCUCAUGGUCAUGGGUGUGAAGAAUUUGAAGGAAUGUGCUGUCURAAUCUUACAGACCACUCGCAACCAAUCCAUGAGCGUAUAAGGAACAUUCAGAAUGGGCUACAUGAGCUGAAGCAGGAGAAUGGCCUUGGGAUUGACGGGUGGCUUCGGGGGCUGGGGAUCGGGCCCUGGUUGGCGGCRGGACUAAAACAGCUGGUUACCGUAGGUGCCGUGGGUAUGCUCCUAUUGAUUUGUGGGCCCUGCAUACUGCAAUGCAUCCUAGCUCGGGUACAAAAAAUGGUUGGUCUAUUAUUUGACCGCAGAGGGGGAGGUGUUGGGGCCCUUGCGGUGCUUCAGAACCAUAAUCUAUAUGAGAGAAUAUUGAACUAG
This 1383-nucleotide long non-coding RNA is filed under the name Apteryx haastii (Great spotted kiwi). RNAcentral's name for it is "lncRNA (ENSAHAG00000003051.1)". Lineage: Eukaryota; Metazoa; Chordata; Aves; Apterygiformes; Apterygidae. The record is from RNAcentral.